RNAcentral lists this transfer RNA (63 nucleotides) under Sinorhizobium americanum. RNAcentral's name for it is "tRNA-Ile". It matches the Rfam family "tRNA", at positions 6 to 65 of the family's 71-position model. Rfam says of the family: Transfer RNA (tRNA) molecules are approximately 80 nucleotides in length. Their secondary structure includes four short double-helical elements and three loops (D, anti-codon, and T loops). Lineage: Bacteria; Pseudomonadati; Pseudomonadota; Alphaproteobacteria; Hyphomicrobiales; Rhizobiaceae. The record is from RNAcentral. RNAcentral also lists the same sequence under 1 other name.
CGUAGCUCAGGUGGUUAGAGCGCACGCCUGAUAAGCGUGAGGUCGGCAGUUCGAGUCUGCCCG